GAUGAAGAACGUAGCGAAAUGCGAUAAGUAAUGUGAAUUGCAGAAUUCAGUGAAUCAUCGAAUCUUUGAACGCACCUUGCGCUCCUUGGUAUUCCGAGGAGCAUGCCUGUUUGAGUGUCAUUAAUAUAUCAACCUUCUCUUUUUUGAGUUGUUUGGAUGUGGGGGUUUGCUGGCCUCUUAAAUGAUUCUGCUCCCCUGAAAUGCAUUAGCAGAACAACCUGUUCAUUGGCGUGAUAAUUAUCUAUGCUAUUGAAUGUGAGGGCAGUUCAGCUUUCUAACCGUCCUUGGACAAUUCAUCAUUAAUGUGACCUCAAAUCAGGUAGGACUACCCGCUGAACUUAAGCAUAUCAAUAAGCGGAGGA
This 362-nucleotide unclassified non-coding RNA is filed under the name soil metagenome. Its description in RNAcentral is "partial contains 5.8S ribosomal RNA, internal transcribed spacer 2, and large subunit ribosomal RNA". The stretch from base 1 to 120 matches the Rfam family "5.8S ribosomal RNA", at positions 35 to 154 of the family's 154-position model. The record is from RNAcentral.